This 513-nucleotide ribosomal RNA is filed under the name uncultured bacterium. RNAcentral's name for it is "partial 16S ribosomal RNA". It matches the Rfam family "Bacterial small subunit ribosomal RNA", at positions 28 to 523 of the family's 1533-position model. The record is from RNAcentral.
GAUGAACGCUGGCGGCGUGCCUAAUACAUGCAAGUCGAACGCACAGCGAAAGGUGCUUGCAACUUUCAAGCGAGUGGCGAACGGGUGAGUAACACGUGGAUAACCUGCCUCAAGGCUGGGGAUAACAUUUGGAAACAGAUGCUAAUACCGAAUAAAACUUAGUAUCGCAUGAUACAAAGUUAAAAGGCGCUACGGUGUCACCUAGAGAUGGCUCCGCGGUGCAUUAGUUAGUUGGUGGGGUAAAGGCUUACCAAGACGAGGAAGCAUAGCCGAGUUGAGAGACUGAUCGGCCACAUUGGGACUGAGAAACGGCCCAAACGCCUACGGGAGGCUGCAGUAGGGAAUCUUCCACAAGGGGCGCAAGCCUGAUGGAGCAACGCCGCGUGUGUGAUGAAGGCUUUCGGGUCGCAAAGCACUGUUGUAUGGGAAGAAAUGCUAAAAUAGGGAAUGAUUUUAGUUUGACGGUACCAUACCAGAAAGGGACGGCUAAAUACGUGCCAGCCGCCGCAGUAA